This 480-nucleotide ribosomal RNA is filed under the name uncultured Anoxybacillus sp. RNAcentral's name for it is "bacterial SSU rRNA". It matches the Rfam family "Bacterial small subunit ribosomal RNA", at positions 904 to 1382 of the family's 1533-position model. The record is from RNAcentral. Lineage: Bacteria; Bacillati; Bacillota; Bacilli; Caryophanales; Anoxybacillaceae.
UUAAAUAAUUGACGGGGCCCGCACAAGCGGUGGAGCAUGUGGUUUAAUUCGAAGCAACGCGAAGAACCUUACCAGGUCUUGACAUCCCCUGACAACCCAAGAGAUUGGGCGUUCCCCUUCGGGGGACAGGGUGACAGGUGGUGCAUGGUUGUCGUCAGCUCGUGUCGUGAGAUGUUGGGUUAAGUCCCGCAACGAGCGCAACCCUUGUCUCUAGUUACCAUCAUUUGGUUGGGGACUCUAGAGAUACUGCCAAGGUUAACUUGGAGGAAGGUGGGGAUGACGUCAAGUCCUCAUGGCCUUUAUGUCCAGGGCUACACACGUGCUACAAUGGCCUGUACAAAGGGCAGCAAAGGGGCGACCCGGAGCAAAUCCCAAAAAACAGGUCUCAGUUCGGAUUGCAGGCUGCAACUCGCCUGCAUGAAGGCGGAAUCGCUAGUAAUCGCAGGUCAGCAUACUGCGGUGAAUACGUUCCCGGGCCUU